Molecule: unclassified non-coding RNA, 331 nt
Filed under: soil metagenome
Description: partial contains 5.8S ribosomal RNA, internal transcribed spacer 2, and large subunit ribosomal RNA
Rfam family: 5.8S ribosomal RNA (bases 1-120)
Source: RNAcentral
GAUGAAGAACGCAGCAAAAUGCGAUAAGUAAUGUGAAUUGCAGAAUUCAGUGAAUCAUCGAAUCUUUGAACGCACAUUGCGCCCCCUGGUAUUCCGGGGGGCAUGCCUGUUCGAGCGUCAUUUCACCACUCAAGCCUCGCUUGGUAUUGGGCAACGCGGUCCGCCGCGUGCCUCAAAUCGACCGGCUGGGUCUUCUGUCCCCUAAGCGUUGUGGAAACUAUUCGCUAAAGGGUGCUCGGGAGGCUACGCCGUAAAACAAACCCAUUUCUAAGGUUGACCUCGGAUCAGGUAGGGAUACCCGCUGAACUUAAGCAUAUCAAUAAGCGGAGGA